AGUGAACGCUGGCGGUAGGCCUAACACAUGCAAGUCGAACGGCAGCACAGUAAGAGCUUGCUCUUACGGGUGGCGAGUGGCGGACGGGUGAGGAAUACAUCGGAAUCUACUUUUUCGUGGGGGAUAACGUAGGGAAACUUACGCUAAUAUCGCAUACGACCUACGGGUGAAAGCAGGGGAUCUUCGGACCUUGCGCGAUUGAAUGAGCCGAUGUCGGAUUAGCUAGUUGGCGGGGUAAAGGCCCACCAAGGCGACGAUCCGUAGCUGGUCUGAGAGGAUGAUCAGCCACACUGGAACUGAGACACGGUCCAGACUACUACGGGAGGCAGCAGUGGGGAAUAUUGGACAAUGGGCGCAAGCCUGAUCCAGCCAUACCGCGUGGGUGAAGAAGGCCUUCGGGUUGUAAAGCCCUUUUGUUGGGAAAGAAAAGCAGCAGGUUAAUACCCCGCUGUUCUGACGGUACCCAAAGAAUAAGCACCGGCUAACUUCGUG
RNAcentral lists this ribosomal RNA (492 nucleotides) under uncultured bacterium. Its description in RNAcentral is "partial 16S ribosomal RNA". It matches the Rfam family "Bacterial small subunit ribosomal RNA", at positions 29 to 507 of the family's 1533-position model. The record is from RNAcentral.